GCCAGGUGCAGUGGUGCAUGCCUGUAGUGCCAGCUACUCAGGAGGCUGAGGCUGGAGGAUCGCUUGAAUCCAGGAGUUCUGGGCUGUAGUGCACUAUGCCGAUGGUGUGUCCACACUAAGUUCAGCAUCAAUAUGGUGAUCUCCCAGGAGCGGGGUACCACCAGGUUGCCUAAGGAGGGGUGAACCGGCCCUGGUUGGAAAUGGAGCAGGUCAAAACUCCUAUGCUGAUCAGUAGUGGGAUUGCGCCUGUGAAUAGCCACUGCACUCCAGCCUGGGCAACAUAGUGAUACCCUGUCUCU
This 299-nucleotide signal recognition particle RNA is filed under the name Cebus imitator (Panamanian white-faced capuchin). RNAcentral describes it as "Metazoan signal recognition particle RNA (ENSCCAG00000014858.1)". It matches the Rfam family "Metazoan signal recognition particle RNA". From Rfam's summary of the family: The signal recognition particle (SRP) is a universally conserved ribonucleoprotein. It is involved in the co-translational targeting of proteins to membranes. The eukaryotic SRP consists of a 300-nucleotide 7S RNA and six proteins: SRPs 72, 68, 54, 19, 14, and 9. Lineage: Eukaryota; Metazoa; Chordata; Mammalia; Primates; Cebidae. The record is from RNAcentral.